CUCGAGGAGGCUGAAAGGAGAGAC
RNAcentral lists this non-coding RNA (24 nucleotides) under Cricetulus griseus (Chinese hamster). Lineage: Eukaryota; Metazoa; Chordata; Mammalia; Rodentia; Cricetidae. The record is from RNAcentral.